GACGAACGCUGGCGGCGUGCUUAACACAUGCAAGUCGAACGGAAAGGCCCUGCUUUUGUGGGGUGCUCGAGUGGCGAACGGGUGAGUAACACGUGAGUAACCUGCCCUUGACUUUGGGAUAACUUCAGGAAACUGGGGCUAAUACCGGAUAGUAGCUCCUGCUGCAUGGUGGGGGUGGGAAAGUGUCGGCGGUUGGGGAUGGACUCGCGGCUUAUCAGCUUGUUGGUGGGGGAGUGGCUUACCAAGGGUUUGACGGGUAGCCGGCAUGAGAGGGGGACCAGGGCCCAGGGGCCUGAGAUACGGCGCAGACUCCUACGGGAGGCAGCAGUGGGGAAUAUUGCACAAUGGGCGGAAGCCUGAUGCAGCAACGCCGCGUGCGGGAUGACGGCCUUCGGGUUGUAAACCGCUUUCGCCUGUGACGAAGCGUGAGUGACGGUAAUGGGUAAAGAAGCACCGGCUAACUACGUG
Molecule: ribosomal RNA, 468 nt
Filed under: uncultured bacterium
Lineage: Bacteria
Description: partial 16S ribosomal RNA
Rfam family: Bacterial small subunit ribosomal RNA
Source: RNAcentral